CCUACGGGUGGCAGCAGUGGGGAAUAUUGGGCAAUGGCGGGAACUCUGAACCAGCAAUGCCGCGUGAAUGACGAAGGUCUUCGGAUUGUAAAGUUCUUUAGUCCGGGAAGAAGUCAAUGCAGGUACCUGACGACUAAGCUACGGCUAACCUCGUGCCAGCAGCCGCGGUAAUACGUAGGGAGCAAGCGUUGUUCGGAAUGACUGGGCGUAAAGGGUGCGUAGGUGGUUGUACAAGUUAGAAGUGAAAUACCCAGGGUUUAACUCGUGAGCUGCCUCUAAUACUGUAUUGCUUGAAUGCAGAUGAGGUUAGUGGAAUGCCUAGUGUAGCGGUGGAAUGCGUAGAUAUUAGAAGGAACACCGGAUGCGAAGGCGGCUAACGAGACUGCAACUGACGCUGAUGCACGAAAGUGUGGGUAGCAAACAGGAUUAGAUACCCCGGUAGUC
Molecule: ribosomal RNA, 444 nt
Filed under: uncultured bacterium
Lineage: Bacteria
Description: partial 16S ribosomal RNA
Rfam family: Bacterial small subunit ribosomal RNA
Source: RNAcentral